This 646-nucleotide ribosomal RNA is filed under the name Debaryomyces nepalensis. RNAcentral describes it as "partial small subunit ribosomal RNA". The stretch from base 233 to 386 matches the Rfam family "5.8S ribosomal RNA". The record is from RNAcentral. Lineage: Eukaryota; Fungi; Ascomycota; Pichiomycetes; Serinales; Debaryomycetaceae.
CUUCCGUAGGGUAACCUGCGGAAGGAUCAUUACAGUAUUCUUUUUGCCAGCGCUUAAUUGCGCGGCGAAAAAACCUUACACACAGUGUUUUUUGUUAUUACAAGAACUCUUGCUUUGGUCUGGACUAGAAAUAGUUUGGGCCAGAGGUUUACUAAACUAAACUUCAAUAUUUAUAUUGAAUUGUUAUUUAUUUUAAUUGUCAAUUUGUUGAUUAAAUUCAAAAAAUCUUCAAAACUUUCAACAACGGAUCUCUUGGUUCUCGCAUCGAUGAAGAACGCAGCGAAAUGCGAUAAGUAAUAUGAAUUGCAGAUUUUCGUGAAUCAUCGAAUCUUUGAACGCACAUUGCGCCCUUUGGUAUUCCAAAGGGCAUGCCUGUUUGAGCGUCAUUUCUCUCUCAAACCUUCGGGUUUGGUAUUGAGUGAUACUCUUAGUCGAACUAGGCGUUUGCUUGAAAUGUAUUGGCAUGAGUGGUACUGGAUAGUGCUAUAUGACUUUCAAUGUAUUAGGUUUAUCCAACUCGUUGAAUAGUUUAAUGGUAUAUUUCUCGGUAUUCUAGGCUCGGCCUUACAAUAUAACAAACAAGUUUGACCUCAAAUCAGGUAGGACUACCCGCUGAACUUAAGCAUAUCAAUAAGCGGGAAGGGAA